CCCCUUUGCAGAAGCAUUUGAAACACUUAUAUCAGGCCUGCCGGUUCUUCCGGCUAUGGUGAUAAACGGCGUUGUAAUAAGCUCAUUGGACCCGGGGGCGGUACCCGGCGCCUCCACCACAAACAGGCGGUUCAGGCCUUUUUGUGAUGGGGGCGAAACAGGAUCGACAAGAGUGUAAAGAACGACCUUUUACCCGGCAUGAUACCACCGUUAUCGGGUCAAACGAGUAGUUGCAAAUGACAACAAAGCUCAGGGUUACGCUGUAGCUGCCUAAUGGCGGUUCCAGAAACCCACCUUAAGUCCUUGCGGGUAGCACUGUAAGGCGGGGUCCGGAGGCACCUGGCAACAGAAGCCUCCACC
Martelella sp. AD-3 is the source of this 360-nucleotide non-coding RNA. It matches the Rfam family "Alphaproteobacteria transfer-messenger RNA". From Rfam's summary of the family: Bacterial tmRNA, also known as 10Sa RNA or SsrA, is named for its dual tRNA and mRNA-like properties. Its role is to liberate the mRNA from a stalled ribosome. Lineage: Bacteria; Pseudomonadati; Pseudomonadota; Alphaproteobacteria; Hyphomicrobiales; Aurantimonadaceae. The record is from Rfam.